This 706-nucleotide ribosomal RNA is filed under the name Xanthomonas sp. EECC-300. RNAcentral describes it as "bacterial SSU rRNA". It matches the Rfam family "Bacterial small subunit ribosomal RNA", at positions 78 to 786 of the family's 1533-position model. Lineage: Bacteria; Pseudomonadati; Pseudomonadota; Gammaproteobacteria; Lysobacterales; Lysobacteraceae. The record is from RNAcentral.
GCUCUCUGGGUGGCGAGUGGCGGACGGGUGAGGAAUACAUCGGAAUCUACCUUUUCGUGGGGGAUAACGUAGGGAAACUUACGCUAAUACCGCAUACGACCUUAGGGUGAAAGCGGAGGACCUUCGGGCUUCGCGCGGAUAGAUGAGCCGAUGUCGGAUUAGCUAGUUGGCGGGGUAAAGGCCCACCAAGGCGACGAUCCGUAGCUGGUCUGAGAGGAUGAUCAGCCACACUGGAACUGAGACACGGUCCAGACUCCUACGGGAGGCAGCAGUGGGGAAUAUUGGACAAUGGGCGCAAGCCUGAUCCAGCCAUGCCGCGUGGGUGAAGAAGGCCUUCGGGUUGUAAAGCCCUUUUGUUGGGAAAGAAAAGCAGUCGGUUAAUACCCGAUUGUUCUGACGGUACCCAAAGAAUAAGCACCGGCUAACUUCGUGCCAGCAGCCGCGGUAAUACGAAGGGUGCAAGCGUUACUCGGAAUUACUGGGCGUAAAGCGUGCGUAGGUGGUUGUUUAAGUCCGUUGUGAAAGCCCUGGGCUCAACCUGGGAAUUGCAGUGGAUACUGGGCAACUAGAGUGUGGUAGAGGAUGGCGGAAUUCCCGGUGUAGCAGUGAAAUGCGUAGAGAUCGGGAGGAACAUCUGUGGCGAAGGCGGCCAUCUGGACCAACACUGACACUGAGGCACGAAAGCGUGGGGACCAACACUGACACU